GGUAAUAUAAUACUCCGCCCUGGAAUACAUUCGCCUCAUUCUUCGAGGCUAUAGAUCGACGAGAUGAUACGUUCUACGUAGUUUCAUUCAGCGGGGAUCAUCUUCUGGUUCCAGCCUCAAACCAUAGUCAGGCAACAAGGCCCAGAAUGUCUCUUCUGCUGCCUGCAAUUUCUCUCUCCCUGAAUGACUCUCAUAUCUCCCCUGGAAAUAUUGCAAUGAUGAAGAUAGAUUGUGAAGUUAUGAAUACACAACUUAUUCAAGUUAAACAGGACUCGAUACCGGCCCAUAUGGCGGCCAAUUUGCGACCUGGAAACCUUAGCAGCGGUGGGUCAAACUAUACUGCUAAACAGAACCA
This is a long non-coding RNA of Eurytemora carolleeae, 355 nucleotides long. RefSeq lists it as uncharacterized. The transcript is spliced from 5 exons. Lineage: Eukaryota; Metazoa; Arthropoda; Copepoda; Calanoida; Temoridae. The record is from RefSeq and is a predicted model, not a curated record.